This 496-nucleotide ribosomal RNA is filed under the name uncultured bacterium. Its description in RNAcentral is "partial 16S ribosomal RNA". It matches the Rfam family "Bacterial small subunit ribosomal RNA", at positions 28 to 506 of the family's 1533-position model. The record is from RNAcentral.
GAUGAACGCUGGCGGCGUGCCUAAUACAUGCAAGUCGAGCGAACAGACGAGGAGCUUGCUCCUCUGACGUUAGCGGCGGACGGGUGAGUAACACGUGGAUAACCUACCUAUAAGACUGGGAUAACUUCGGGAAACCGGAGCUAAUACCGGAUAAUAUAUUGAACCGCAUGGUUCAAUAGUGAAAGACGGUUUUGCUGUCACUUAUAGAUGGAUCCGCGCCGCAUUAGCUAGUUGGUAAGGUAACGGCUUACCAAGGCAACGAUGCGUAGCCGACCUGAGAGGGUGAUCGGCCACACUGGAACUGAGACACGGUCCAGACUCCUACGGGAGGCAGCAGUAGGGAAUCUUCCGCAAUGGGCGAAAGCCUGACGGAGCAACGCCGCGUGAGUGAUGUAGGUCUUCGGAUCGUAAAACUCUGUUAUUAGGGAAGAACAAAUGUGUAAGUAACGAUGCACGUCUUGACGGUACCUAAUCAGAAAGCCACGGCUAACUACGU